AUUGAACGCUGGCGGCAGGCUUAACACAUGCAAGUCGAGCGGGGGAAGGUAGCUUGCUACCGGACCUAGCGGCGGACGGGUGAGUAAUGCUUAGGAAUCUGCCUAUUAGUGGGGGACAACAUCUCGAACGGGAUGCUAAUACCGCAUACGUCAUCCGGGUGAAAGCAGGGGAUCUGCGGACCUUGCGCUACUAGAGGAGCCUAAGUCGGAUUAGCUAGGUGGUGGGGUAAAGGCCUACCAAGGCGACGAUCUGUAGCGGGUCUGAGAGGAUGAUCCGCCACACUGGGACUGAGACACGGCCCAGACUCCUACGGGAGGCAGCAGUGGGGAAUAUUGGACAAUGGGGGGAACCCUGAUCCAGCCAUGCCGCGUGUGUGAAGAAGGCCUUAUGGUUGUAAAGCACUUUAAGCGAGGAGGAGGCUACUUUAGUUAAUACCUAGAGAUAGUGGACGUUACUCGCAGAAUAAGCACCGGCUAACUCUGUGCCAGCCGCCGCUGUAA
RNAcentral lists this ribosomal RNA (501 nucleotides) under uncultured bacterium. Its description in RNAcentral is "partial 16S ribosomal RNA". It matches the Rfam family "Bacterial small subunit ribosomal RNA", at positions 30 to 523 of the family's 1533-position model. The record is from RNAcentral.